UUACGGCCAUAUCACGUUGAAACAGCGGUUCUCGUCAGAUCACUGAAGUUAAGCAACGUUGAACCUGUUCAGUGCCUAGAUGGGUGACCGCUUGGGAAUACCAGCCGCUGCAAG
Molecule: non-coding RNA, 114 nt
Organism: Acanthosepion pharaonis
Lineage: Eukaryota; Metazoa; Mollusca; Cephalopoda; Sepiida; Sepiidae
Source: the annotation of a GenBank genome assembly